This 472-nucleotide ribosomal RNA is filed under the name Atlantocuma sp. PR-2011. RNAcentral describes it as "partial 16S ribosomal RNA". It matches the Rfam family "Bacterial large subunit ribosomal RNA", at positions 1830 to 2587 of the family's 2925-position model. The record is from RNAcentral. Lineage: Eukaryota; Metazoa; Arthropoda; Malacostraca; Cumacea; Bodotriidae.
GUCUUAGGGCAGUAUCCUAAGUCAUACCUGCACACUGACAUAUUUAAAGAGCUGCAGUAAUUUAACUGUACUAAGGUAGCAUAAUAAUUUGCCUUGUAAUUUAAGGCUUGAAUGAAUGGUUUGACGUAAAGAAUUCUUUAUUUUAAAGUGUAAGAAAUUAUUGUUAGGUGAGAAUCCCUAAAUAAAUAAGGGGGACGAUAAGACCCUAUAAAAUUUUACCCAUUUAAAAAUUGUUAGGUUAUAUUAAAAUAGGGUUUAACUGGGACGGUUAUAAUUAAAAAUUUAACAUUUAUUUUUAAUACACUUUUAGGUGUAAAUAUUGACCUUUUUAAAAUCAAAAAAUAAAAAUUACUUUAGGGGUAACAGCGUAAUCUUUCUUAGAGUUCAUAUCGAAGGAAAGGUUUGCGACCUCGAUGUUGAAUUAAGAUUUUCCAUAGGAGCAAAAGCUAAUUGGGAAGGAUCGGUUCGGUCC